RNAcentral lists this ribosomal RNA (367 nucleotides) under uncultured bacterium. RNAcentral describes it as "bacterial SSU rRNA". It matches the Rfam family "Bacterial small subunit ribosomal RNA", at positions 527 to 896 of the family's 1533-position model. The record is from RNAcentral.
GGASGGUGCAAGCGUUAUCCGGAUUUACUGGGUUUAAAGGGUGCGCAGGCGGAUAUGUAAGCCAGUGGUGAAAUCUCUAGGCUUAACCUGGAAAUUGCCGUUGAUACUAUAUAUCUUGAAUGCUGUGGAGGUAAGCGGAAUAUGUCAUGUAGCGGUGAAAUGCUUAGAUAUGACAUAGAACACCUAUUGCGAAGGCAGCUUACUACGCAGAUAUUGACGCUCAUGCACGAAAGCGUGGGGAUCAAACAGGAUUAGAUACCCUGGUAGUCCACGCCCUAAACGAUGAUUACUCGACAUACGCGAUACACUGUGUGUGUCUGAGCGAAAGCAUUAAGUAAUCCACCUGGGAAGUACGACCGCAAGGUUG